GACGAACGCUGGCGGCGUGCUUAACACAUGCAAGUCGAACGGAAAGGCCCUGCUUUUGUGGGGUGCUCGAGUGGCGAACGGGUGAGUAACACGUGAGUAACCUGCCCUUGACUUUGGGAUAACUUCAGGAAACUGGGGCUAAUACCGGAUAGGAGCUCCUGCUGCAUGGUGGGGGUUGGAAAGUUUCGGCGGUUGGGGAUGGAAUCGCGGCUUAUCAGCUUGUUGGUGGGGUAGUGGCUUACCAAGGCUUUGACGGGUAGCCGGCCUGAGAGGGUGACCGGCCUAAUAUGGACGGAGAUACGGCCACGACUCCUACGGGACGCAGCGGUGGCGAAUAGUACACAGUGAGCGGAACCCACGUGCAGCAACGCCGCGUGCACGAUUAUUACCUUUGGAUAGUAAACCGCUCCCGCUGGUCAUGAAGCGUGACUGACGUUUACUGGUAAGGAAGCACCGACUUACUACGUG
This 468-nucleotide ribosomal RNA is filed under the name uncultured bacterium. RNAcentral's name for it is "partial 16S ribosomal RNA". It matches the Rfam family "Bacterial small subunit ribosomal RNA", at positions 28 to 507 of the family's 1533-position model. The record is from RNAcentral.